This 465-nucleotide ribosomal RNA is filed under the name Vreelandella stevensii. RNAcentral describes it as "partial 16S ribosomal RNA". It matches the Rfam family "Bacterial small subunit ribosomal RNA", at positions 338 to 795 of the family's 1533-position model. The record is from RNAcentral. Lineage: Bacteria; Pseudomonadati; Pseudomonadota; Gammaproteobacteria; Oceanospirillales; Halomonadaceae.
CCUACGGGAGGCAUCAGUGGGGAAUAUUGGACAAUGGGGGGAACCCUGAUCCAGCCAUGCCGCGUGUGUGAAGAAGGCCCUCGGGUUGUAAAGCACUUUCAGUGAGGAAGAACGCCUGGUGGUUAAUACCCAUCAGGAAAGACAUCACUCACGGAAGAAGCACCGGCUAACUCCGUGCCAGCAGCCGCGGUAAUACGGAGGGUGCGAGCGUUAAUCGGAAUUACUGGGCGUAAAGCGCGCGUAGGUGGCUUGAUAAGCCGGUUGUGAAAGCCCCGGGCUCAACCUGGGAACGGCAUCCGGAACUGUCAAGCUAGAGUGCAGGAGAGGAAGGUAGAAUUCCCGGUGUAGCGGUGAAAUGCGUAGAGAUCGGGAGGAAUACCAGUGGCGAAGGCGGCCUUCUGGACUGACACUGACACUGAGGUGCGAAAGCGUGGGUAGCAAACAGGAUUAGAUACCCCAGUAGUC